Molecule: ribosomal RNA, 443 nt
Filed under: uncultured bacterium
Lineage: Bacteria
Description: partial 16S ribosomal RNA
Rfam family: Bacterial small subunit ribosomal RNA
Source: RNAcentral
CCUACGGGGGGCAGCAGUGGGGAAUAUUGGACAAUGGGGGGAACCCUGAUCCAGCGACGCCGCGUGAGUGAAGAAGUAUUUCGGUAUGUAAAGCUCUAUCAGCAGGGAAGAAAGAAAUGACGGUACCUGACUAAGCAGCCCCGGCUAACUACGUGCCAGCAGCCGCGGUAAUACGUAGGGGGCAAGCGUUAUCCGGAUUUACUGGGUGUAAAGGGAGCGUAGACGGCGAUGCAAGUCUGAAGUGAAAGGCGGGGGCCCAACCCCCGGACUGCAUUGGAAACUGUAUGGCUGGAGUGCAGGAGAGGUAAGUGGAAUUCCUAGUGUAGCGGUGAAAUGCGUAGAGAUUAGGAGGAACACCAGUGGCGAAGGCGGCUUACUGGACUGUAACUGACGUUGAGGCUCGAAAGCGUGGGGAGCAAACAGGAUUAGAUACCCUUGUAGUC